Long non-coding RNA from Vidua macroura (Pin-tailed whydah), 1280 nucleotides. RefSeq lists it as uncharacterized. Lineage: Eukaryota; Metazoa; Chordata; Aves; Passeriformes; Viduidae. The transcript is spliced from 2 exons. The record is from RefSeq and is a predicted model, not a curated record.
CCAGAGCUGCUGCCUUUGUCUGAGGGAGCAGCGAGCGCCGGGAUUGGCAGAGUCCUGCGGGCGGCUCAGCCAAUCAGCGCGCGGCGGGGCCGGCCGGCUCGAUGGCGAUUGGCCGCGAGCGCCGGUUACUAAGCGGGACAAAGGAAGGCGAGCGCUGGGGCGAGAGCGGGGUUCGGGGGGCGCGGGGUGACCCGGCCCCGCUUCCCGGCCCCGCUUCCCGGCCGGGCAGCGCCCCGACACCGCCCCGACACCGCCCCGACACCGCCCCGACACCGCCGUCUCCAGCGCUGGCCCUGAGGAAACUCCUCCUGCCCACAUCGCCGGCGGGGCUGCCCCCGCCCCGAGCCGGUGCGCCGCAGCACCGGGGCUACCUGCCGCCCUCCGGCCCGGGCCGGCCGCCGUGUGGGGAUGAGUGAGGCCUGUGGGAGACCCGGGCACACGGGACCCUCUGAAGGCAGAGCCGGUGGCCACAUCCCCGGCGGGAGCCUGUCCUGGCUGACCCCUCAGCCGCUGCACUGGCCACAAACAGUGGCCCUCCUCCCUCCUCUGCAGGGCCCUGGCAGCCGCCUGCUGUGUUUGGGAUAAGUCUGAGCUGCAAGCACACCCGAAAUGGAACCUCAGCCUGCCUGGCAGCCACAUCCCGAUGGGCAGCCACAGCCCGCAGCCCGCAGGCACCGGCGGGAGGCAGAAGUGCAGCCAGCUCGGCACUCAGCCUCGGUUUUGGCGCGGCGAAGCAUCCUUAGAGAAAGGCUGCUGCUGAGAAAUUAAGGAAGAGUCCUUUCCCCAGACUCCCAACCAGUGUCAGAGGCACAAGGAUGAACAACACCUUGAUCUGCUGUGGAAAUCUCAGGGAAUGUUGGAAAAUCCAACACCAAAGGUGUCUGCUUUACUUGCACUUCAAAGCGUAGAAGAGCAAGUGACGAAUAAUUUGUCCUGCUCUGGCAUUAGGUAGCAGCUCCUGAAAACACCCUUCUGACUUGGCUGAACCUUAGGGUGACUGUGACAUUGAAUAACCAAAAGGCUGGGCCCUAUGGAAGAGUAUGAGGGAAGAUCUGAAGUUUGCUGAUGUAUCACAACUUCCACAGCAAGCAAUUUAGAGCAGGCUGCUCCAGGCACAGAGCUCCUUGAGGGAUGGAUGGCUGCAGAAGAGCACAGGGCUUUGAUUCAAGUCACUCACUGCACAGAAAUUAAUUUUAUAAACCCAUCCACAAACUCUGAUUAAUCCACGAUAACCAGAUAUGAUUCCUUUUUCUAAUUCUUAAAUUAAAUUAUUGAGCUGA